UCAUUGGGACCUCAGUUUACCCACAGCAC
Molecule: non-coding RNA, 29 nt
Filed under: Rattus norvegicus (Norway rat)
Lineage: Eukaryota; Metazoa; Chordata; Mammalia; Rodentia; Muridae
Source: RNAcentral